RNAcentral lists this ribosomal RNA (569 nucleotides) under endosymbiont of Polyrhachis ypsilon. RNAcentral describes it as "bacterial SSU rRNA". It matches the Rfam family "Bacterial small subunit ribosomal RNA", at positions 812 to 1380 of the family's 1533-position model. Lineage: Bacteria; Pseudomonadati; Pseudomonadota; Gammaproteobacteria; Enterobacterales; Enterobacteriaceae. The record is from RNAcentral.
UCGAUUUGAAGGUUGUGAUCUUGAAUUGUGGCUUUCGGAGCUAACGCGUUAAAUCGACCGCCUGGGGAGUACGGCCGCAAGGUUAAAACUCAAAUGAAUUGACGGGGGCCCGCACAAGCGGUGGAGCAUGUGGUUUAAUUCGAUGCAACGCGAAGAACCUUACCUACCCUUGACAUCCAAAGAACUGCGUAGAGAUAUGCAGGUGCCUUCGGGAGCUUUGAGACAGGUGCUGCAUGGCUGUCGUCAGCUCGUGUUGUGAAAUGUUGGGUUAAGUCCCGCAACGAGCGCAACCCUUGUCCUUUGUUGCCAGCGAAUUAUGUCGGGAACUCAAAGGAGACUGCCGGUGAUAAGCUGGAGGAAGGUGGGGAUGACGUCAAGUCAUCAUGGCCCUUACGGGUAGGGCUACAAACGUGCUACAAUGGGGAAUACAAAGAGAAGCGAUCUUGCGAGAGCUAGCAAACCUCAUAAAAUUCUUCGUAGUCCGGAUUGGAGUCUGCAACUCGACUCCAUGAAGUCGGAAUCGCUAGUAAUCGUGAAUCAGAAUGUCACGGUGAAUACGUUCCCGGGCC